RNAcentral lists this ribosomal RNA (355 nucleotides) under uncultured soil bacterium. Its description in RNAcentral is "bacterial SSU rRNA". It matches the Rfam family "Bacterial small subunit ribosomal RNA", at positions 26 to 377 of the family's 1533-position model. The record is from RNAcentral.
AGGACGAACGCUGGCGGCGUGCUUAACACAUGCAAGUCGAGCGAAGCUCCUGCCUUCGGGUGGGAUGACUUAGCGGCGAACGGGUGAGUAACACGUGGGCAACCUGCCCUUAGCUCUGGGAUAAGCGAUGGAAACGUCGUCUAAUACUGGAUAUGACACUGGGACGCAUGUUCUUGGUGUGGAAAGUAUUUUUUGGCUAAGGAUGGGCCCGCGGCCUAUCAGUCUUGGUUGGUGGGGUAAUGGCCUACAAGGCGGCGACGGGUAACCGCUGAGAGGGCGACGGUCACGCGUGGACUGACGACACGGCCCAGACUCCGUACGGGAGCAGCAGGUGGGAAUGUAGGACAAGUGGACG